CAGGGUGUAUAAUAAUCAUAAUACGGUAAUAAUAAUCAUAAUAAAAACACGGUGAACUAGAAACCCCACUCCACGGAGAAAUGGUUCUUACCUUCCUGCCACCUCCAAACUGUGAUCACAUGUUCAGGUUCCACCCCUACAGACAGCAGAAGCUUCCCAGUCGCGCUAAAGUUAACGUAGCCCACACCUUUAGCAUGGGAGCAACGCAGGAUGGACAGAGUCUGCUUGGUCAUGGCGUCCCACACGUGGAUAGAAGGCGCAAAGCCUGUGACGAAAGACCAGAACUGUAAAGACCAUAAGUCAGUUCUCCAGGACCCAAGGAACCACAGCAGCACAAAGUCACAGCAAUUCAAGACCAGAGGCUUCAAACGGAGUUCAAGAUCACAUCAACUACCGGACCAAGAACCAAAAACCAAAAACCAUCAAAGCAGAUGAUGCUAAUGGGUGUGUGGACUGGGACAUGCUACAUGAUCACACUGGUUCUGUAACAUCUGUCUCUUUUGGGACUCUUCGGGCAGCCAAUUAUCCAAUAGAACCAAACAUUUAUUAGCAUCUUUAUUAGCAACACUGAGCUAAUUCGACAAAAAAUGUUCGUGGACAAGUCCUGGCAUGGACAAACGGCGUCUCCUGUGUGACCAUGCUCUUCACACGUUCAUCAUUCAGGCAGAACUACCACAAAUUGGUAUCAUAGCACUCUAGAUGCUAAGCUAUGCUAGCUUGCUUCAGGGCCAUGCUCGCACCGACGACAUGUAAACCGAUUUCCAAUCAUGCUGCAAAUGUUUCCACAUAGGAAUCACAGACAAGACGCUAACCCGUCUUCAGUGAGUUAAAGCUUUCUAGCGCCCGAUGCUAACACCAAUAGCUAGCGCGUAUUCGUUGUCCUUGUUUUGAAAGUGAACAUGCUAAGCUGCUUCUGCUUGCAUGAAUGUUGUUCUCAUGUGCGUGUUGACAUGGCGAGCAUGAGGCAAGCAGACCUGAACAGGGACCCGGACCCCGGGAUACUCACCAGACAUGUCAGCUUCUACACAAACAACACAAACGUGAGACACAUCAAGUGCGCACAUAGCGGAUUAUCACGCCAAGUGAGGCACGUCUUACCUGGCAGGUCCGUGAUGUCACCUGAUGAAGGGGCGGAGACAACAAGGAAGCAAGAAAAGACAAGCGCCAUGGGCCAAAAGCAGCCAAGGUCAUGCAGCAAUGGUUAAAAAAGUGAUGUGUCAGUGACAAGGACAACCGCGUGGAGGACCGCGUACCCGGCGGUUCCCGGCGCCAAGUUUGAACUCACCGAUCUGCCCCGUGGCGAUGACGUUUUGGUAUUUGGGAUGCUGGUUGACAGUCAGGCAGAGAAUGUCGUCUGUGUGCUCCAGAUAGAAACUCUGAGUUCCUGUUGGGAUGUUGGAAUGUUUACUCGUGGAACGCCGGCGGUGAGAGAUUUACCGACCGGAAGACAGGUUCUGGAUCACCACGGCAGCAGCGGUGUGGAAGAUUAUGUCGGCACCGUCGUUGAGGUAAUGCAGGUUAUUGCGACAGUCAAAUCCUCUGUAGCCAAAAACGUGCUCCAAUUGAAGUUCCUAAGACAAAAAAACGAGGACAAGACUGUCAAAAGGUUGAGACCGGAAAACGGACACGGAACCGGAAACGGCCAUACUGACUUCCACUGCUUUCUUCAUCUUGGUCACGUUGUUCUUCAGAAGUUUUUCAGGCUGUGGUGUUGCGCGACUCACUGAAGGUCUGGAACGUUGAAAACCGGAAUGAGACCAAGAGCAAGAACAUCGCCAACCAAUGAUCAGCGGGUACCUCUCAUCGACAGGAAGUUCCUUGUGCUGCAGAUACCGACUCUCUUGCUGGUCAGCACGUUGUAGAUGUCCACGAAGGAAUCCUGCGACGCCACGGCCAGGUACCUUGGGAGAAGCGUAUGUCGGAGAUGAGCUCUCGCCGGUGAUGGAAGGUCACCAUGUCCUCCAACGUAUCGGCGUUCACAACCAGGAAGCUGCCAUCGUUCAGGCCCACCGCUAGCACUUUGCCAUCUGGCGAGAAGGCGCAGCACCGCCCACCUGACCCACAGACGCCACCGAUCACGUAAAGGCUUGUGAGCAAUGAGGAGUUUUUCCUGAUGUACCUUUUUUAAGCUUACGCACGGCAACCAUGCGGUGAUUGGCUGACAGCUCCCACAUACGCAGGGUUUUGUCAUCGCCAACGGUGGCACAGACAGGAAGUAGCGGGUGAGUGGCCAAACCCCAAACCUCGCCUUCCAUGUGACCCUGAACACAAACAAGCGUCACUUUCCUGUUUGUCGUAUUUAUCCUUGGAUGUCAUCUGACCUGAACCAGCAGUGUCAUUGGGCCGCUCUUGUCAAUCUCCAAAAUUUCUCCGUUCUUGGUCCCAACCAGAAUGUGGCCGUGACCCAGAGUGAUGGCUCUGAUGGACGGGUUGUCUUCCAGGAGCAGGCCUGGUGGGACAAAACCCAACAUGUGAUGCAAUCGAACCACGGCGUCCCACCUUUGGAGGACGGCGAUAGAA
Molecule: non-coding RNA, 2520 nt
Organism: Doryrhamphus excisus (bluestripe pipefish)
Lineage: Eukaryota; Metazoa; Chordata; Actinopteri; Syngnathiformes; Syngnathidae
Source: RefSeq, a predicted model, not a curated record